GACAAAUCCAAUCCAGCCCGCGCUGAAACAACAACAGCCCGACGCCUCUGCUGCUGAGCUGAAACUGCUAAUUUCUGGGACCAGCCUUUUUUUUGGGCUCUGAACGGGGGAUGGAUGAAUGGCUUGUCUCGCACAAAUGACAAAAAGCCCCCCUCUGCCUUAAUCUCCAUCGCCAAAAUAACCCCAUCUUUUUUUCUCCUUUUGCUUAGUCCUUCAAAAGAACGAACAAGCCACUUUGGGCAAACUUGUCUGGUGGUCUUGAGUGGGCUUCAUGGAUUUGGCAUCAAAUGCAAAUCAGUUUGUAAAUAGACGACCAUGCAUGUUGCUGAAUUAUUUGAUAUAAUUUUGCAAUGCAAUUAGUUUUUUCCCCCUUUAGUUCUCCAAAUGUAUUAAUCUCCUUUUUAAAUAAAACUAUUUCACACAUACUGUAU
RNAcentral lists this long non-coding RNA (431 nucleotides) under Danio rerio (zebrafish). RNAcentral's name for it is "si:dkeyp-7a3.3 (ENSDARG00000097910.2)". The record is from RNAcentral. Lineage: Eukaryota; Metazoa; Chordata; Actinopteri; Cypriniformes; Danionidae.